UGUGAGAAAAAAAAACUCCUUGAUCCGAACCAAACGACCGAAACUAAAAACAAUAUUUCAUAUGUGAGAAGAGAGAGCUCCUUGAUCCGAACCAAGCGGCCAAAACUAAGGGGAUGAGACCAUCAUCAUAUCUCACCUUCUCACCUCGGUAAGUCGAUCGCUGGCCUCCCUGCUUCUUUUUCUUGUGUGUUCGUAUGCGCGUAUUGUGACUAGCAGUAGCAGGAGAUGAAUGAAUGCUGGCAGCGAGUGCAAAAAAUGGA
Molecule: long non-coding RNA, 260 nt
Filed under: Hordeum vulgare
Lineage: Eukaryota; Viridiplantae; Streptophyta; Magnoliopsida; Poales; Poaceae
Description: long non-coding RNA (HVUL_LNC003252)
Source: RNAcentral